GACGAACGCUGGCGGCGUGCUUAACACAUGCAAGUCGAACGAAGAGCGAUGGAAGCUUGCUUCUAUCAAUCUUAGUGGCGAACGGGUGAGUAACGCGUAAUCAACCUGCCCUUCAGAGGGGGACAACAGUUGGAAACGACUGCUAAUACCGCAUACGAUCUAAUCUCGGCAUCGAGGAUAGAUGAAAGGUGGCCUCUACAUGUAAGCUAUCACUGAAGGAGGGGAUUGCGUCUGAUUAGCUAGUUGGAGGGGUAACGGCCCACCAAGGCGAUGAUCAGUAGCCGGUCUGAGAGGAUGAACGGCCACAUUGGGACUGAGACACGGCCCAGACUCCUACGGGAGGCAGCAGUGGGGAAUCUUCCGCAAUGGACGAAAGUCUGACGGAGCAACGCCGCGUGAGUGAUGACGGCCUUCGGGUUGUAAAGCUCUGUUAAUCGGGACGAAAGGCCUUCUUGCGAAUAGUUAGAAGGAUUGA
Molecule: ribosomal RNA, 475 nt
Filed under: Veillonella parvula
Lineage: Bacteria; Bacillati; Bacillota; Negativicutes; Veillonellales; Veillonellaceae
Description: bacterial SSU rRNA
Rfam family: Bacterial small subunit ribosomal RNA
Source: RNAcentral